This is an RNA transcript of Stegostoma tigrinum, 2152 nucleotides long. It is a transcript of the gene named hyaluronan-binding protein 2-like, with no coding region annotated. The transcript has 6 exons. NCBI's taxonomy places the organism in Eukaryota, Metazoa, Chordata, Chondrichthyes, Orectolobiformes, Stegostomatidae. The record is from RefSeq and is a predicted model, not a curated record.
AAUUGAUGAUGUACUGAAUGUGCAUGUACGGUUAGCAUUUUCAUACAAUGGCCAUACUUGCAGCUAAGGCUUCUAUUGGCAUACUUUUAAUCUGGUUUUCUGUAGUUUCAUUGACUAGCCUUUUCAGACUCAUCAAUUGAUAAUUGCAAUCCAAAUUGUUGCACAAAUCAUGGAACCUGUGAACUAACAGCAAAUGGCUACGAAUGCCAUUGCCUUCAACUGUAUUCUGGAACCAAUUGUGAACUAGAGAAUAACCCUUGUAAGAAUAACUCGUGCAACCAUGGAGACUGUCUCAUCACAAUUUUGCCUCCUUAUUAUGCAUGCAAGUGCAGACAUCCUUAUCAGCCACCAACAUGCACUAACUCAAGUGCUGUUUGUGAUCCAAAUCCAUGCCUUAAUGGAGGAACGUGUUUGCAGACAAACAGAAGCACUCUGUUCAAAUGCGCCUGUGCAGAAUCAUUCCGUGGAGAGAGGUGUGAAAUAGGAAUGGAUGACUGUUACACAGGGUGCGACAUACCAAGGUCUCGUGAGUCAAACCAGAACAGGACAGAGGUGCCUAUACUGGAAUUCUCACUUACUUCUGUCACCAAAUAUGAUUCUUCAGCUACAAAAUGAUGAUGCACUGGGUGUUGAAGAGCAUAACCACUGCCGGAAAACAAGCACUCACUUGUAUUGUAUGAUGAGAGUUAGUUGAAAAAGUACAUUGCUUCUUAGUGCUUAUACAUUGAAACUUUAUCUACAUUUGGUGCAGAAUUGAUAAGGAAAAUAGACAUAUGUCCAUUGAAGAUCAAUACAAUGCUAUUCACUUACAUCUUCCUACGUGGCCACUCUGUUUCAACCGCCAAAUACUUCACCUCAUCUAAAAUGUCAGUGCCCUACUCAACCUGACUUUGUUUAUUUCUCUAAUCCUAACUGCUCUGUUCAGAUAUACAUAUCACUCAGAUAAUCCAAAAAAAGUUCUGCAUUGUCACUUUAGGGGGCUAGAUACUCAAUCAAGAAACCAAACCUUGAGUAUAGCAAUCCAUAUUAUUACCUUUGAGUUCUGCUUCUUAAUUUGGAGCUUAGCUCCACAAUACAAUGGUACAGAAGCUCUUCCCUUGUUCUGCAAGGUCCAGGUACCAAUGUUGAUUGGAGCUGUCCCCCUCCUACCGUAAAUUCCUCCCCAGUUCUGUGCUGAUAUCCCAAACCCUGGCACCAGGCAAACAACAGUCUUCUAGGCUGAAGAAAUUUGCAACAGAACAGUGUCGAUCCCCUUCACAGUACCUACCCUGAUGUUCAUUACCACAACAUUCCUUUUCUGCUCACCCCACUUAUUUGACUUUCUAAGCAGCAGUGUUAAAGCUCAUUGACCCUGCUGCUCCCAUUUCAGACUGAACAAACCAAAAGGACCUCAAUCCUGUUGUAUCAGUUCAAAGGCUCCAGCAAUCCUGUCCCCUGAGUCUCCUUAAUUGUGUCAACAGCAGCCACAUUCCCCUACCCCUGAACCCUGACCAAAGAAGGCUCAAUCUUCACAAGUGUGACUGACCCUGGUACAAAAUAUCCAGGUACUGAUUCUUUCCAUGCACAGCUUGGUGUCCAGUUCAGAGCCUGAAUCAAACUGGGUUGAGCCACAAGCACUGCACACAUGCUCGCUCUAGAUCUCACUGACAAACAAGACACAUUACCUGCCCUGCAAUCCUUAAUGUGUUUUAAUUAAUUGCUUAAUUGUUUCAUUCAGCUCUUUAUUUUCCUUUCAGAAUGAUAUAUUAUUGAUCUUAACAUGAGAACCUAUAUUGUUUUAAAAUUUUGGCAUAAAAUAGACAUCAACCACUUUUCAGCGACUCUCCAAUCAUGUAGCUUCUUCCCCUGUAACAGAGUACGAUUAGUUCCAACAGGGUGAGGCAUUUGGAAAAGCAAAAAAAAAAGCACCUCCUUCCUGUUUUCCUAAAUCCCUCACUAACUCUACUUCCAUUGUAAUCAAAGUGGCACUCACAUCUUCCUGCUUUUGCAGAAGUUUAUUGAAUUGCAAGUUAUCAUUUUUCUUUUGAAUCAUUGCUAAUUUCCAUGGUAACCAUUUAUUCUCAGUUACAAUGCAGAGUAUUCGGGCAUGUAAACAAACAUUCAGUAUGGUAAAAAUGCAACGGCAUAACUUUGCAUUCAAUAUCAUUCACAC